This 253-nucleotide ribosomal RNA is filed under the name uncultured bacterium. RNAcentral's name for it is "partial 16S ribosomal RNA". It matches the Rfam family "Bacterial small subunit ribosomal RNA", at positions 524 to 776 of the family's 1533-position model. The record is from RNAcentral.
UACGUAGGGUGCGAGCGUUAAUCGGAAUUACUGGGCGUAAAGCGUGCGCAGGCGGUGAUGUAAGACAGAUGUGAAAUCCCCGGGCUUAACCUGGGAACUGCAUUUGUGACUGCAAGGCUAGAGUACGGUAGAGGGGGAUGGAAUUCCGCGUGUAGCAGUGAAAUGCGUAGAUAUGCGGAGGAACACCGAUGGCGAAGGCAAUCCCCUGGACCUGUACUGACGCUCAUGCACGAAAGCGUGGGGAGCAAACAGG